This 2319-nucleotide ribosomal RNA is filed under the name Salmonella enterica subsp. enterica serovar Newport str. L0167. RNAcentral describes it as "bacterial LSU rRNA". It matches the Rfam family "Bacterial large subunit ribosomal RNA", at positions 372 to 2675 of the family's 2925-position model. The record is from RNAcentral. Lineage: Bacteria; Pseudomonadati; Pseudomonadota; Gammaproteobacteria; Enterobacterales; Enterobacteriaceae.
CCCGUACACAAAAGCGCAUGUGCUGUGAGCUCGAUGAGUAGGGCGGGACACGUGGUAUCCUGUCUGAAUAUGGGGGGACCAUCCUCCAAGGCUAAAUACUCCUGACUGACCGAUAGUGAACCAGUACCGUGAGGGAAAGGCGAAAAGAACCCCGGCGAGGGGAGUGAAAAAGAACCUGAAACCGUGUACGUACAAGCAGUGGGAGCACAGGUUUACCUGUGUGACUGCGUACCUUUUGUAUAAUGGGUCAGCGACUUAUAUUCUGUAGCAAGGUUAACCGAAUAGGGGAGCCGGAGGGAAACCGAGUCUUAAUUGGGCGUUAAGUUGCAGGGUAUAGACCCGAAACCCGGUGAUCUAGCCAUGGGCAGGUUGAAGGUUGGGUAACACUAACUGGAGGACCGAACCGACUAAUGUUGAAAAAUUAGCGGAUGACCUGUGGCUGGGGGUGAAAGGCCAAUCAAACCGGGAGAUAGCUGGUUCUCCCCGAAAGCUAUUUAGGUAGCGCCUCGUGAAUUCAUCUCCGGGGGUAGAGCACUGUUUCGGCUAGGGGGCCAUCCCGGCUUACCAACCCGAUGCAAACUGCGAAUACCGGAGAAUGUUAUCACGGGAGACACACGGCGGGUGCUAACGUCCGUCGUGAAGAGGGAAACAACCCAGACCGCCAGCUAAGGUCCCAAAGUCAUGGUUAAGUGGGAAACGAUGUGGGAAGGCCCAGACAGCCAGGAUGUUGGCUUAGAAGCAGCCAUCAUUUAAAGAAAGCGUAAUAGCUCACUGGUCGAGUCGGCCUGCGCGGAAGAUGUAACGGGGCUAAACCAUGCACCGAAGCUGCGGCAGCGACACUGUGUGUUGUUGGGUAGGGGAGCGUUCUGUAAGCCUGUGAAGGUGUGUCGUGAGGCAUGCUGGAGGUAUCAGAAGUGCGAAUGCUGACAUAAGUAACGAUAAAGCGGGUGAAAAGCCCGCUCGCCGGAAGACCAAGGGUUCCUGUCCAACGUUAAUCGGGGCAGGGUGAGUCGACCCCUAAGGCGAGGCCGAAAGGCGUAGUCGAUGGGAAACAGGUUAAUAUUCCUGUACUUGGUGUUACUGCGAAGGGGGGACGGAGAAGGCUAUGUUGGCCGGGCGACGGUUGUCCCGGUUUAAGCGUGUAGGUGUGUGUUCCAGGUAAAUCCGGUUCACUUUAACACUGAGGCGUGAUGACGAGGCACUACGGUGCUGAAGCAACAAAUGCCCUGCUUCCAGGAAAAGCCUCUAAGCAUCAGGUAACAUCAAAUCGUACCCCAAACCGACACAGGUGGUCAGGUAGAGAAUACCAAGGCGCUUGAGAGAACUCGGGUGAAGGAACUAGGCAAAAUGGUGCCGUAACUUCGGGAGAAGGCACGCUGACACGUAGGUGAAGUGAUUUACUCAUGGAGCUGAAGUCAGUCGAAGAUACCAGCUGGCUGCAACUGUUUAUUAAAAACACAGCACUGUGCAAACACGAAAGUGGACGUAUACGGUGUGACGCCUGCCCGGUGCCGGAAGGUUAAUUGAUGGGGUCAGCGCAAGCGAAGCUCCUGAUCGAAGCCCCGGUAAACGGCGGCCGUAACUAUAACGGUCCUAAGGUAGCGAAAUUCCUUGUCGGGUAAGUUCCGACCUGCACGAAUGGCGUAAUGAUGGCCAGGCUGUCUCCACCCGAGACUCAGUGAAAUUGAACUCGCUGUGAAGAUGCAGUGUACCCGCGGCAAGACGGAAAGACCCCGUGAACCUUUACUAUAGCUUGACACUGAACAUUGAGCCUUGAUGUGUAGGAUAGGUGGGAGGCUUUGAAGUGUGGACGCCAGUCUGCAUGGAGCCGACCUUGAAAUACCACCCUUUAAUGUUUGAUGUUCUAACGUGGACCCGUAAUCCGGGUUGCGGACAGUGUCUGGUGGGUAGUUUGACUGGGGCGGUCUCCUCCUAAAGAGUAACGGAGGAGCACGAAGGUUGGCUAAUCCUGGUCGGACAUCAGGAGGUUAGUGCAAUGGCAUAAGCCAGCUUGACUGCGAGCGUGACGGCGCGAGCAGGUGCGAAAGCAGGUCAUAGUGAUCCGGUGGUUCUGAAUGGAAGGGCCAUCGCUCAACGGAUAAAAAGGUACUCCGGGGAUAACAGGCUGAUACCGCCCAAGAGUUCAUAUCGACGGCGGUGUUUGGCACCUCGAUGUCGGCUCAUCACAUCCUGGGGCUGAAGUAGGUCCCAAGGGUAUGGCUGUUCGCCAUUUAAAGUGGUACGCGAGCUGGGUUUAGAACGUCGUGAGACAGUUCGGUCCCUAUCUGCCGUGGGCGCUGGAGAACUGAGGGGGGCGUG